AUGAACGCUGGCGGCGUGCCUAAUACCUGCAAGUCGAGCGCACAGACGAGGAGCUUGCUCCUCUGACGUUAGCGGCGGACGGGUGAGUAACACGUGGAUAACCUACCUAUAAGACUGGGAUAACUUCGGGAAACCGGAGCUAAUACCGGAUAAUAUAUUGAACCGCAUGGUUCAAUAGUGAAAGACGGUUUUGCUGUCACUUAUAGAUGGAUCCGCGCCGCAUUAGCUAGUUGGUAAGGUAACGGCUUACCAAGGCAACGAUGCGUAGCCGACCUGAGAGGGUGAUCGGACACACUGGAACUGAGACACGGUCCAGACUCCUACGGGAGGCAGCAGUAGGGAAUCUUCCGCAAUGGGCGAAAGCUUGACGGAGCAACGCCGCGUGAGUGAUGAAGGUCUUCGGAUCGUAAAACUCUGUUAUUAGGGAAGAACAAAUGUGUAAGUAACUAUGCACGUCUUGACGGUACCUAAUCAGAAAGCCACGGCUAACUACGUG
Molecule: ribosomal RNA, 496 nt
Filed under: uncultured bacterium
Lineage: Bacteria
Description: partial 16S ribosomal RNA
Rfam family: Bacterial small subunit ribosomal RNA
Source: RNAcentral